Molecule: long non-coding RNA, 1052 nt
Filed under: Phascolarctos cinereus (koala)
Lineage: Eukaryota; Metazoa; Chordata; Mammalia; Diprotodontia; Phascolarctidae
Description: lncRNA (ENSPCIG00000034675.1)
Source: RNAcentral
CAAUAAUACGCUCAAGAUAAACCUGGGUUCUUCUGUUACUCUGUGGUUCCAAAAGGCAUGAUGAGAAGAAGAUACACUUCUAUGAUAAAAUGAAGGAUUGAGCAUUCUGAUUCCAGGGUAAGAAGCCAUUAUUCCUCCCGCCUUUCACUGGAAAGAUGCAGUCAGUCAGUCAACAUCCACAAGAACCCUGCUACAGUCUUUGGGAUGGCUCAAGUGACCAGAGGGCUCUGGAAAGUCAUCUCUGUGCCACAAACUGGGCCAGGUUUCACUCAAUUCAAAGGUUCUGAAUCUAGACCCAGUGAAGGACUUAACAGUGUGUGGAGGUGGCCUGUGGACCAGCCAAACAAAGUGCCAAGAUCGUACCACAAGAUAAGCUGCCCUCCCUCUGUAAGCAAGUAAGGGCCCAAAGGCCAUCAAUUGAGUUACGGUGUGACUGUAAGAUAAUCGGUAGAAGAAAGAUUAUGGAAUAGUACACGAAAAUUCCUCACUAUUCUUACAACAACAACAAUUAUUUAAAUAAUAAGGUGAGGAAGUUCCUUUUGAAUACCUGGGGAAUUGUAACUAUAAAUUAAAGUUAAGUGAUGCUUAUUAAGGCUUUCAGGAUAGGUGCUUUAAAAUGUAAAUAGUUUAGGGCAAAACAAUCUCAUCCAUCUGGGGCCUUCAACUCUUUAGAACAGGUGUGAGAACCCUAAAGACAGAGGGACCAGAGAGUCUGCUUACUUUACCCACAAUUGUAACAGGUUAGUUAUAUAGUUUUCUAUAGCUGCCAAGGAGGUUGGGGGAGGGGGAAAAGGGGAGAAGGAAAGCAAAUGACAGUAAGAAAAAGGUAUCGCUGACAAUGAAGAGCCUGGGAUGAUUGUGGGUCUGCAAAUAUCAUUAUAUUACAGCAUAGUAAUUGAUGUUCAUAAUGAUGACUACUACUCAUCAAGAAAAGGUUAAAUUACAUUUUGAAUACUCAGCUUUAGAAAGCAGAGAAGUGUGUAAUAGAUUUUAGCAAGGUUUCUAUCUAAAGUGGUUAAAACAAAAUAAAAAAAGCUAGUGCUUAAAGGACA